Chinchilla lanigera (long-tailed chinchilla) is the source of this 140-nucleotide small nucleolar RNA. Lineage: Eukaryota; Metazoa; Chordata; Mammalia; Rodentia; Chinchillidae. The record is from Ensembl.
ACCCCCUGGCAAUGGGCAAAGAGGCACCUCAUUGGUGGUGUUGUUCUUAUAUCAGUCAGGGGCAGAGCAGAUGUCCUUUGUUCAUCCUAGCUUGAUGCCUGGGUUGGUGGCCAAAGCUGUUUCAUGCCUAGGACACAAAA